AUGAUUUUAAAAGCCUUGAGUGAGAACGGCAAGUCCCCUCUCUCCACACCCUGGGAAGGAAUGUUCCUGAGUGGUGAGCAGAGGCGUCCAUGGAGCUCAGCCCCAGAACUGGUCCUUUAUGGAGACGCCCCGAUAUUCCCAGGGGCCCUCAACCGUGGCCGCCCAGGAGAACCAGGCAAGGAUGGGUAUCAACCUGACACGAAUCUCAACCCUCCAGCUGCGGUCGGUCAGCGGGUGGCCGUUACCCUGGACUCAGCAUCAGAUUAGCAGGAGCAGUCAGCUGAAGGGGACGACUUCCCUGAGGGUGGAGGCCACUUCGGUCCUGGUUCCUUGCCUCCCCAGUGCCAGGAAUAUACCAGGAGGCCUUUCGGUAAGUGUAGAAGAAGUGAAUGGUUAAUGGAUUUGAGUCAAGCUUCAUAAUCAAAGCACUUUCACCAUCUUGUGUGAUCCUCACAACAAACCCUUGAAGCACAUAGUCAGGUCCAUUUUAUACCAGAGUAAACGGAGGAGGAAGUUGAGCAACUCAGGGAAGCUCACCCUGAGGCCUGAGCCCUUAGCAGUGAAACUCACUAACAAAGACACCAAGCGUCGGCCUCCAGCACAUUUAACUCUGAAACGCAGGCAACUGACUUCGAUCUGUGUGCCAUGGACCCCACUUCGUGAUGUGGAUGUCUGCCCCUACCGCUGUCCCUCAAAGGACCAAGUCGUGAAGGGUCUGUCUAACCUAGAGCAUCCUAGCUUUUUUACAAAGGUGGUGUGGAGAGCAUUGGGCUGGGAUUUAGGAAAUCUGGGUUCCAAAUCUAGUUCUAACUCAUGAAGCAAAUCCUUUGGAAUGAGUGAGCCUUCAUAUCCUUGCUUGUGAAAUCAGGGAGCUGAAUCAAGUAGAUUCUCAAAGCUGGGAAUUCCAGAUCUCUCAGGAUUUGGUUACAGAGAGUCUUUUUGUAAAAUCGUCCUUCAAUUUUCUGUUUUUCAAUCUCCUUUUUAUUAUUUUUGCAAACACACACAUAACAUUCUGUGUAGCAUAUAUGUUAAUUUGUGAGACAUAAAAAUAUAAUAAGCACCUGUGAUUUCACCAUUAGAACAUUAUCAGUGUCUGCAUCCCCUUCCCUUGUCCCAUACACGGUCCUCCUCUCCAAAGCUACCAUCUCAUUUCUGUGGUUACCAACUCAUAAAUGCCUCUGGAAGCCAUCUAGCCCCACAUGCCUCUCUCUGCAAACAGAAACUAGCUCACAGAAGCUCAGUGACUCAGGUCAGCCUUUAAACAGCCAUUAAUUAUGGAAAUUAAUGUUGCAGCGUGAGCUCUAGAAGCCAAGGCAUAUGAUAUUCAGGCACCAUUAGGUUCAGAACUAUGCAGAUGAAGGUCAGGAAAUGGAAGGCGUGUCCAUUCCUUGUCACUGCAGGGCGAUCAAAUGCCAGUGCUACAGCAAGAGCCUCUUCUUACGCCAUGAUUGCAGAGAGGAGGAGGUGUCUGUGGGAAAGGUACGAAGCACACCGAAAUGCAUCAGGGCUAACCCAGAAGGGCCGAGACGGGGGAUAUUAUUGUGUUCCCUCUGUUCCAAAAUGUUUAUUUUCAUUUGAAUUAUUUACCAAAUAGGUGAUAUAUGUACACAGAAGAAAAUCCAAAAAGUAUGAAAGUAUAAUGUCUCCCUCCCUCCUUGGGCCCCAGCCAACAGAUCGUCCUUACCUAUGGCAACCACUGGAAUCUUUCCAUUGAUACACUAAAUUUAUAUGAGUAAAUACAAUUCAUUUACCUUUUAAUGUAAUGGCAGUAUACUUCAAACAGUGUUCACCUUGCUUUUGUAAAUGCAAUAUUGGUUCACUCAUUUAACCUUCACUCCAUGCCUGCUUAUGUGCAGGCACUGUUUGGCUGAUGCAAUAAGUCGGGUGGACUAUACACAAGAACCCCUGCUCUCAUUGCGCUCAGUGGAGGGAGACAGACAAUCAACAUAAACAGCAAGUUAUAUAAUGUGUUAGAAAAUGCUAAGUGCCUGGGAGAAAUAGAGCAGAAUAAGGGGUUGGAAGGAUGCGGCAGUUGUAAAUAGGAUGCCUCAUCUAGAGGUGACAUCUGAGCAAUGUGGCUAUCUGGGGACAGAGCCUUCCAGGCCUAGGAGACAGCUGAUGCAAGCACCCCCGUGCCUGGCGUGUGGAGGAACAGCAAGGAGGCCAG
Long non-coding RNA from Orcinus orca (killer whale), 2167 nucleotides. RefSeq lists it as uncharacterized. The transcript has 3 exons. NCBI's taxonomy places the organism in Eukaryota, Metazoa, Chordata, Mammalia, Artiodactyla, Delphinidae. The record is from RefSeq and is a predicted model, not a curated record.